Molecule: ribosomal RNA, 500 nt
Filed under: uncultured bacterium
Lineage: Bacteria
Description: partial 16S ribosomal RNA
Rfam family: Bacterial small subunit ribosomal RNA
Source: RNAcentral
AUUGAACGCUGGCGGCAUGCCUUACACAUGCAAGUCGAACGGCAGCGCGGACUUCGGUCUGGCGGCGAGUGGCGAACGGGUGAGUAAUACAUCGGAACGUACCCUGUUGUGGGGGAUAACUAGUCGAAAGAUUAGCUAAUACCGCAUACGACCUGAGGGUGAAAGUGGGGGACCGCAAGGCCUCACGCAGCAGGAGCGGCCGAUGUCUGAUUAGCUAGUUGGUGGGGUAAAGGCCCACCGAGGCGACGAUCAGUAGCUGGUCUGAGAGGACGAUCAGCCCCGCUGGGACUGAGACACGGCCCAGACUCCUACGGGAGGCAGCAGUGGGGAAUUUUGGACAAUGGGGGCAACCCUGAUCCAGCAAUGCCGCGUGUGUGAAGAAGGCCUUCGGGUUGUAAAGCACUUUUGUCCGGAAAGAAAUCGCGCUGGUUAAUACCUGGCGUGGAUGACGGUACCGGAAGAAUAAGCACCGGCUAACUACGUGCCAGCCGCCGCAGUAA